This 543-nucleotide long non-coding RNA is filed under the name Helianthus annuus (common sunflower). Its description in RNAcentral is "sRNA HanXRQr2_Chr16g0763501". Lineage: Eukaryota; Viridiplantae; Streptophyta; Magnoliopsida; Asterales; Asteraceae. The record is from RNAcentral.
UUCGAGUCUCGUUUAAAGCAAAAAUGCUCUAAAUUAACCAAAGGUGAGCCUAGGGAUGGUGGGCCAGCCCAAUACAUCCAUGGACUGGAUUCACGUUGUGGCAUGCCCUCCCCCUAGGUGUAGAUGGGCUCGUGGGAUAGUGAAUAGGGCUAAAGUAACGGGGAUAAAGAAGCUGGAUAUGGUAAGGCUUUGAAGGGAAUUAACUGGGCUUAUGAAGAAUGGCUUGCUGGGCUUGUAUUUCGGAUAAGAGUUAAGGGCCCAUUAGGGUUAUUUUGUGUGUGCGGGUCAAAGGUGGUCCGAGUUCUCUAUAUAUAAGAUAUUUGUGUGUGUUUGUGAUUCAUUGUGAUCAUUUUCACAUGCACACACACCUUGUUUUAUUUCAUAGGGUUUCACAUCUAGGGCUUUGUUGAUCUUGUUGUUGUUGAGAUGUUUUAGAGUAUGUUAAAUCCUUGUGAGAGUAACACAAAUUAUCGUGUUGAUGAUCUGUUAGUGAGGAGAUCUAAAGAACUCUUGCUAUUGGAAGCUGUUGUUCUUAGUCUCUGA